UACGUAGUGUGCGAGCGUUGUCCGGAAUUAUUGGGCGUAAAGGGCUCGUAGGCGGUCUGUCACGUCGGGAGUGAAAACUCGGGGCUUAACCCCGAGCCUGCUUCCGAUACGGGCAGACUAGAGGUAUGCAGGGGAGAAUGGAAUUCCUGGUGUAGCGGUGAAAUGCGCAGAUAUCAGGAGGAACACCGGUGGCGAAGGCGGUUCUCUGGGCAUUACCUGACGCUGAGGAGCGAAAGUGUGGGGAGCGAACAGG
This 253-nucleotide ribosomal RNA is filed under the name uncultured bacterium. RNAcentral's name for it is "partial 16S ribosomal RNA". It matches the Rfam family "Bacterial small subunit ribosomal RNA", at positions 524 to 776 of the family's 1533-position model. The record is from RNAcentral.